CAGGGACACCCCCCGGCGGGGGCGGCGCCGGGCGGGACCCCCCCCGGGGGCACCUUCGCGCAGGACACGACCAAGUUCUGGUACAAACCGGGGCUGUCCCGGGAGGAAGCCGUGGCGCUGCUCAAGGCGGCCCCUCCCGGCUCCUUCCUCGUCCGCCGCAGCAGCAGCUUCCCGGGGGCGUUCGGGCUCGCGCUCAGGGUGGGGGUCCCGCCCCCCCGCGCCACCGCCAGAGUGGGGGACCCCCAGGAGCAGCUGGUCCGGCACUUCCUGAUCGAGACGGGCCCGCGGGGCGUCAAAAUCCGGGGGUGCCCCGAGGAGCCUUACUUUGGGAGCCUCCCAGCUCUGGUGCUGCAGCACUCCAUCACCCCUAUCUCACUGCCUUGCACCCUCCGCAUCCCCCAUGCAGGUGGGCACCCCAAAAACUGCAGGAACACCCAAAAACCCUGUGGAUACCCCACAACUCCUGCAUGACCCCAAAACCCCCACAGGGACCCCCCUCAAAGUGCAGUUACCCCACCCCAACCCCUUCCUGGGACACACCAAAACCCCCUGGGAGAAACCCAAAACCAUGGGACACCC
This 579-nucleotide long non-coding RNA is filed under the name Lonchura striata (white-rumped munia). RNAcentral's name for it is "domestica (Bengalese finch) lncRNA (ENSLSDG00000018229.1)". Lineage: Eukaryota; Metazoa; Chordata; Aves; Passeriformes; Estrildidae. The record is from RNAcentral.